This 433-nucleotide ribosomal RNA is filed under the name uncultured bacterium. Its description in RNAcentral is "partial 16S ribosomal RNA". It matches the Rfam family "Bacterial small subunit ribosomal RNA", at positions 29 to 507 of the family's 1533-position model. The record is from RNAcentral.
AACGAACGCUGGCGGCAUGCCUAACACAUGCAAGUCGAACGAGACCUUCGGGUCUAUGGGCGCACGUGUGCGUAACGCGUGGGAAUCUGCCCUUGGGUUCGGAAUAACUCGCCGAAAGGCGUGCUAAUACCGGAUGAUGACGUACGUCCUAAGAGUUAUUGCCCAAGGAUGAGCCCGCGUUGGAUUAGCUAGUUGGUGAGGUAAACGCUCACCAAGGCGACGAUCCAUAGCUGGUCUGAGAAGAUGCUCAGCAACACUGGGACUGAGACACGGCCCAGACUCGUACGGGGGGCAGCAGUAGAGAGUAUUAGGGACUGGGCGAUGGUCUGAUCCAGCCAUGCCGCGUGAGUGGUGAAGGCCUUAGGGUUGUAAAGCUCUUUUAGACGAAAUGUUAAUGACCGUAACGGGAAAAUAAGCACCGGCUAACUCCGUG